GCGCGGCACCGCCUGCCCGCCCGGGGCUGGAGGGAGCCCCGGUGUGACCGAGGGUCGCCUCCUGCACCGGGCCUCUGCAAGCCCAGGCUGGGAGUGGCCCAGGGCAGAGAGACCCGGGGUGCUGCUCCACACUGGCUGAACGUGAGGCAGCAGGGUGCCCGCUUGGCCGGGGAGGCCAAUGCCAUCCUGGCCUGGAUCAGCAGCCGUGUGUUCAGCAGGACCAGGCAAGGGGUCAUCCCCCUGUACUUGGCACCGGUUGCUUUUCCAGCCUAAUGGAUUCUGCGUUUCUGUACCGAGCGUAGCGUGGAGCAGCACAGAAGCUGGAGUGAGCUUUUCAACUGGACUCCUUGCUGCUUGACUGCAGCGUUUGCUCGGGGGUGAGGACAUGCAGGACGCGGGACAGCCGCGGCCCGCGAUCCGCCCCCGGGCAGCCCCGGCCCGGCCCCGGCCCCGGCCCGCGCCGCGAGCAGCGAGCGCCCUCUCGCGGCACGGCGCGGGGCCGCGGGCGGAGGCGGCUGAGGGCUGUGCUGUGCCCGGGCCCCCGCAGGGCCUGGGGCCGCCCCGGGGACACGGGUGUCCCUGCCGCAGCACGGCCCGGCUCGCAGCCUGCACUGGCGCUCGCUCCUGGGGUAAAAUAAACAGCUAUUGACCUUCCUGCCGCUGAGCAGUCGUUACCUAGAACAAUACAGAGUACCUUCCCUUUUCAAAAGUGGCCAUUCAAAGCGUAUUAAGUCCAGCGUUUUCUAUUCUGUGCCCUUUUGGGAAUGUGGUCUCGGUGAUGAGUCACCGCGGCCUUGGGAAAGGUGCUCAGGGCUAGAAAUGUUGGGUGGGUUGGGCAGGUUUAUGCUUUCCUUUGAGCUUUGCGACCUGUUUGCUCGGCAUGACUGAGAGUGCAUACACACUGUGAAAUGUUGGCUGUGCUCUUGUUUCUCCUUGCAGGAAGGCUAAAUAGGCUGCUCUGAUAAUUAUCUGUUAAUGACAUGCCUAUGCUUUCCCCCGCCCUUUUCUUUUUUUCCUCCUUUUUCUGGGGUGUUCUUUGGAGAUUACCAGAGAGUUUGGUAAAAAAUCCUGCUGUGGUAAAACUGCUGGGAAUCCCAUCUACAAAACCCACUGAGGUUGUGGACUUACGCCUGAUUAAUAAAUGUCACUGUGUUGCUUUGCUGAUGCAGGAGAGAAGAUUGUGUGGCCCCCACUUACGUCUUGGUAUCUGGAAGAAAUUUCUGAAAUUAAAUUUAUUGUGUUUUUUUCUC
This is a long non-coding RNA of Passer domesticus (house sparrow), 1250 nucleotides long. RefSeq lists it as uncharacterized. Lineage: Eukaryota; Metazoa; Chordata; Aves; Passeriformes; Passeridae. The record is from RefSeq and is a predicted model, not a curated record. The transcript is spliced from 2 exons.